UUAGAGUUUGAUUCCAUGGCUCAGGAUGAACGCUGGCGGCGUGCCUAACACAUGCAAGUUGAACGGGUGUAGCAAUACAUCAGUAGCAAACGGGUGAGUAACACGUAAGUAACCUUCCCUCAAGACUGGCAUAACCUGCCGAAAGGCGGGCUAAUUCCAGAUGUGUCCCGGUGGACUUCUGUCUGCCGGAAUAAAUCCCGCAAGGGGCUUAAGGAUGGGCUUGCGGCCUAUCAGCUAGUUGGCGGGGUAAAUGCCCACCAAGGCUAUGACGGGUAGCUGGUCUGAGAGGACGACCAGUCACAAUGGAACUGCGACACGGUCCAUACUCCUACGGGAGGCAGCAGUGAGGAAUUUUCCGCAAUGGGCGAAAGCCUGACGGAGCGACGCCGUGUGGGUGAUGAAGUUUUUCGGAAUGUAAAGACCUGUCAGAGGGGACGAUAUUGACGGACCCUCAGAGGAAGCCAC
This 465-nucleotide ribosomal RNA is filed under the name uncultured bacterium. RNAcentral's name for it is "bacterial SSU rRNA". It matches the Rfam family "Bacterial small subunit ribosomal RNA", at positions 1 to 494 of the family's 1533-position model. The record is from RNAcentral.